Small nucleolar RNA from Erinaceus europaeus (western European hedgehog), 128 nucleotides. NCBI's taxonomy places the organism in Eukaryota, Metazoa, Chordata, Mammalia, Eulipotyphla, Erinaceidae. The record is from Ensembl.
GUUGAGGUCUAUCCCAAUGGGGCUCUGCUGUGGACUCUUGUCUUUGGAAAUGCCUCAGUGUAAUUGUGUGGUUUGCUUUGCUCAUAGAGCUACUGGUUAGAUCUGUGAGAAAGAACUACAAGACAGCU